This is a non-coding RNA of Coprinopsis sp. MPI-PUGE-AT-0042, 117 nucleotides long. Lineage: Eukaryota; Fungi; Basidiomycota; Agaricomycetes; Agaricales; Psathyrellaceae. The record is from the annotation of a GenBank genome assembly.
UGCCCCAUGGCUGAGUUGGUUACAGCGUCCGACUGUUAAAAUACGGUGCUCCUUGAGCGAGGCUCGAACACCUGCUUAGUAAUCGGAAGGUCGAGAGUUCGAGCCUCUCUGGGGCAG